Molecule: long non-coding RNA, 549 nt
Organism: Sceloporus undulatus (fence lizard)
Lineage: Eukaryota; Metazoa; Chordata; Lepidosauria; Squamata; Phrynosomatidae
Exons: 3
Source: RefSeq, a predicted model, not a curated record
UUGCCAGCCCACUUGGUAUAUAUGUCUUGCAAAAGGCCUGACCUUCCAGGUUACAGUGAGCAAAGAAAAAAAAAAGGCCAUCAAUAGUUCCUGUUUCCCUGGGAGCCUAAAAGCCUCAUCUUUUAAAUGUCUACCAGUUCUGUUUCUGGUUCUCCCCUCAGUGAUGGAUAUCCAUAUGAAAUCAAAUUGUGCACCCAAAGUUUGCCUGUUCCCAGUUGCCCAUUAUUUCUUCCAGUAUAAGCAGCACUGCCUCCAAAGUUGGGGCUCGUACCUAAGUGUGUGUCAUACCCUGCAUCCAGGAGCCAAGCACAUCCUUUGAGAGCCCAGGUAACAUACCAGAACUGCAGCCACACCAGCAGCCUCUGGCGGUAAACCUGCAGCCAGUACCAGGACCACCUGAGUCAGACUUACCAGUGCCUACUCCCAGAGAGAGAUACCUGAAAAAAGAGAGAAAACAGUGUUCUUUGCAGUUACAUAGGAAGCAAGCUGCUAACUGGGAGCACCUAUGAGACCUUGAUGGGCUAUAAAUAUCCCAGCACCUCCUUCAGC